GACGAACGCUGGCGGCGUGCCUAAUACAUGCAAGUUGAGCGCUGAAGGUUGGUACUUGUACCAACUGGAUGAGCAGCGAACGGGUGAGUAACGCGUGGGGAAUCUGCCUUUGAGCGGGGGACAACAUUUGGAAACGAAUGCUAAUACCGCAUAAAAACUUUAAACACAAGUUUUAAGUUUGAAAGAUGCAAUUGCAUCACUCAAAGAGGAUCCCGCGUUGUAUUAGCUAGUUGGUGAGGUAAAGGCUCACCAAGGCGAGGAUACAUAGCCGACCUGAGAGGGUGAUCGGCCACCUUGGGACUGAGACACGGCCCAAACUCCUACGGGAGGCAGCAGUAGGGAAUCUUCGGCAAUGGACGAAAGUCUGACCGAGCAACGCCGCGUGAGUGAAGAAGGUUUUCGGAUCGUAAAACUCUGUUGGUAGAGAAGAACGUUGGUGAGAGUGGAAAGCUCAUCAAGUGACGGUAACUACACAGAAAGGGACGGCUAACUACGUG
This 497-nucleotide ribosomal RNA is filed under the name uncultured bacterium. RNAcentral describes it as "partial 16S ribosomal RNA". It matches the Rfam family "Bacterial small subunit ribosomal RNA", at positions 28 to 507 of the family's 1533-position model. The record is from RNAcentral.